RNAcentral lists this ribosomal RNA (482 nucleotides) under uncultured bacterium. Its description in RNAcentral is "partial 16S ribosomal RNA". It matches the Rfam family "Bacterial small subunit ribosomal RNA", at positions 30 to 507 of the family's 1533-position model. The record is from RNAcentral.
AUUGAACGCUGGCGGCAUGCUUUACACAUGCAAGUCGAACGGUAACAGGCCGCAAGGUGCUGACGAGUGGCGAACGGGUGAGUAAUGCAUCGGAACGUGCCCAGUCGUGGGGGAUAACUACUCGAAAGAGUAGCUAAUACCGCAUACGAUCUAUGGAUGAAAGCGGGGGACCGUAAGGCCUCGCGCGAUUGGAGCGGCCGAUGUCAGAUUAGGUAGUUGGUGGGGUAAAGGCUCACCAAGCCAACGAUCUGUAGCUGGUCUGAGACGACGACCAGCCACACUGGGACUGAGACACCGCCCAGACUCCUACGGGAGGCAGCAGUGUGUAAUUUUGGACAAUGGUCGCAAGCCUUAUCCAGCAAUGCCGCGUGCAGUAAGAAGGCCUUCGGGUUGUAAACUGCUUUUGUACGGAACGAAACGGCUCUGGUUAAUACCCGGGGCUAAUGACGGUACCGUAAGAAUAAGCACCGGCUAACUACGUG